AACGAACGCUGGCGGCAUGCCUAACACAUGCAAGUCGAACGAGACCUUCGGGUCUAGUGGCGCACGGGUGCGUCACGCGUGGGAACCUGCCCUUAGGUUCGGAAUACCUCCCCGACGGGGGUGCUAAUACCGGAUAAUGUCUUCGGACCAAAGAUUUAUCGCCUUUGGAUGGGCCCGCGUUGGAUUAGCUAGUUGGUAGGGUAAAAGCCUACCAAGGCGACGAUCCAUAGCUGGUCUGAGAGGAUGAUCAGCCACACUGGGACUGAGACACGGCCCAGACUCUUACGGGAGGCAGCAGUGGGGAAUAUUGGAAAACGGGCGAAAGCCUGAUCCAGCAAUGCCGCGUGAGUGAUGAAGGCCUUAGGGUUGUAAAGCUCUUUUACCCGGGAUGAUAAUGACAGUACCGGGAGAAUAAGCACCGGCUAACUCCGUG
This 433-nucleotide ribosomal RNA is filed under the name uncultured bacterium. RNAcentral describes it as "partial 16S ribosomal RNA". It matches the Rfam family "Bacterial small subunit ribosomal RNA", at positions 29 to 507 of the family's 1533-position model. The record is from RNAcentral.